GUUUAGAACGUCGUGAGACAGUUCGGUCCCUAUCCGCUGUGCGCGUAGGAGUCUUGAGAAGGGCUGUCCCUAGUACGAGAGGACCGGGACGGACGAACCUCUGGUGUGCCAGUUGUCCUGCCAAGGGCAUGGCUGGUUGGCUACGUUCGGAAAGGAUAACCGCUGAAAGCAUCUAAGCGGGAAGCCUGCUUCGAGAUGAGGACUCCCACCCCCUUUGAGGGGUUAAGGCUCCCAGUAGACGACUGGGUUGAUAGGCCAGAUCUGGAAGCCCGGUAACGGGUGGAGGUGACUGGUACUAAUAGGCCGAGGGCUUGUCCUCAGUUG
This 324-nucleotide ribosomal RNA is filed under the name Streptomyces sp. SID14478. Its description in RNAcentral is "partial 23S ribosomal RNA". It matches the Rfam family "Bacterial large subunit ribosomal RNA", at positions 2609 to 2925 of the family's 2925-position model. Lineage: Bacteria; Bacillati; Actinomycetota; Actinomycetes; Kitasatosporales; Streptomycetaceae. The record is from RNAcentral.